AGAGUUUGAUCAUGGCUCAGGAUAAACGCUGGCGGCGUGCCUAACACAUGCAAGUCGAACGCUCUUGGGAGCAAUCCCAAGGGAGUGGCGGACGGGUGAGUAACACGUGGGUACCUGCCCUGUGGUGAGGAAUACCGGCGAGAAAUCGCCGACAAUACUGCAUACGUUUGUAAUGCAAACAAAGCUCGGGCAACCGGGCG
RNAcentral lists this ribosomal RNA (200 nucleotides) under uncultured bacterium. RNAcentral's name for it is "partial 16S ribosomal RNA". It matches the Rfam family "Bacterial small subunit ribosomal RNA", at positions 8 to 217 of the family's 1533-position model. The record is from RNAcentral.